ACUUUUGCCUCUGCUCCCUCAUCCAAUAUUGAAAAUCCAUUACUGCAUCUAAUUCCCAAAUCAUGUGGUUGGUACCCUGUUUCUAUCACAAUACCUUUGUUCUUGUGCUUUGUAGCUCCCACCAGUGUCCAUAUUUUGUCAUAUUCACCUAUAUUUACUCUUUUUUCCUUUGGUGUCACUUUUACCUCCUCUAGGAUCUCUAUUGUGUUAGUAUCUUGUUGUUCUUGUUGUUUUUUGACAGUCCAUAUUUUAUUUAUCACUGGCUUUUCUUUUUCACACACAUGUCCAACUCUAUUACACUUCUUGCAAAAUGGAGGUCUCCAUUCAUACUCAAUCCUAUGUUAA
Molecule: non-coding RNA, 345 nt
Organism: Vicia faba (fava bean)
Lineage: Eukaryota; Viridiplantae; Streptophyta; Magnoliopsida; Fabales; Fabaceae
Source: the annotation of a GenBank genome assembly